UUUCCGUAGGUGAACCUGCGGAAGGAUCAUUAUUAUAUAACCGAGGUGCGAGGGCUGUCGCUGACCCGAAAGGUCGUGCACGCCCGAGUGCCCUCACAAACAUCCAUCUCACCCCUAUGUGCACCACCGCGUGGGUCCCCCUUUGGCUUGUUCGGAGGGGGGCUUACGUUUUCACACAAACUUUGUAUGAAGUGUAGAAUGUAUUUUUUGUUUUUGCUAUCACGCAAUCAAUACAACUUUCAACAACGGAUCUCUUGGCUCUC
This 263-nucleotide unclassified non-coding RNA is filed under the name plant metagenome. RNAcentral's name for it is "partial contains small subunit ribosomal RNA, internal transcribed spacer 1, and 5.8S ribosomal RNA". The record is from RNAcentral.